RNAcentral lists this ribosomal RNA (253 nucleotides) under uncultured bacterium. RNAcentral describes it as "partial 16S ribosomal RNA". It matches the Rfam family "Bacterial small subunit ribosomal RNA", at positions 524 to 776 of the family's 1533-position model. The record is from RNAcentral.
UACGUAGGGGGCAAGCGUUAUCCGGAUUUACUGGGUGUAAAGGGAGCGUAGACGGCAUGGCAAGUCAGAUGUGAAAGCCCGGGGCUCAACCCCGGGACUGCAUUUGAAACUGUCAGGCUGGAGUGCAGGAGAGGUAAACGGAAUUCCUAGUGUAGCGGUGAAAUGCGUAGAUAUUAGGAGGAACACCAGUGGCGAAGGCGGCUUACUGGACUGUAACUGACGUUGAGGCUCGAAAGCGUGGGGAGCAAACAGG